RNAcentral lists this long non-coding RNA (257 nucleotides) under Hordeum vulgare. Its description in RNAcentral is "long non-coding RNA (HVUL_LNC021504)". Lineage: Eukaryota; Viridiplantae; Streptophyta; Magnoliopsida; Poales; Poaceae. The record is from RNAcentral.
GAGGUUCUAUACUACGUCGCAGAGGCUGGUUCUUGAAAUUUUUUGAGUUCACCACAAUUUUAGCAAUUUUGUGUACCAGCUCUUUCAGCUUAUUUGUAGCAUGUGUGCUUCUCCACAAUACUGAAGUUUUGAACAGUGGUAGCCUGUAACAAACCUAUAAAGCCCUAUGAUGUUUGGCACCAUGAGGUGUUUAUAUGGAUUGGUAACUCUGUAACUCGUAUUAUUUUAAUUGUUGGAGAGGAAAAGAAAAGUAGAAG